This 164-nucleotide ribosomal RNA is filed under the name Papaver heterophyllum. Its description in RNAcentral is "5.8S ribosomal RNA". It matches the Rfam family "5.8S ribosomal RNA". Rfam says of the family: 5.8S ribosomal RNA (5.8S rRNA) is a component of the large subunit of the eukaryotic ribosome. It is transcribed by RNA polymerase I as part of the 45S precursor that also contains 18S and 28S rRNA. The record is from RNAcentral. Lineage: Eukaryota; Viridiplantae; Streptophyta; Magnoliopsida; Ranunculales; Papaveraceae.
UGAACGACUCUCGGCAACGGAUAUCUCGGCUCUCGCAUCGAUGAAGAACGUAGCGAAAUGCGAUACUUGGUGUGAAUUGCAGAAUCCCGUGAACCAUCGAGUUUUUGAACGCAAGUUGCGCCCCAAGCCUUCGGGCCGAGGGCACGCUUGCCUGGGCGUCACGC